RNAcentral lists this ribosomal RNA (295 nucleotides) under uncultured microorganism. RNAcentral describes it as "partial 16S ribosomal RNA". It matches the Rfam family "Bacterial small subunit ribosomal RNA", at positions 505 to 796 of the family's 1533-position model. The record is from RNAcentral.
GUGCCAGCAGCCGCGGUAAUACGUAGGGCGCAAGCGGUUAUCCCGGAAUUAUUGGGCGUAAAGAGCUCGUAGGGCGGUUUGUCGCGUCUAUCGUGAAAGUCCGAGGCUCAACCUCGGAUCUGCGGUGGGUACGGGCAGACUAGAGUGAUGUAGGGGAGACUGGAAUUCCUGGUGUAGCGGUGAAAUGCGCAGAUAUCAGGAGGAACACCGAUGGCGAAGGCAGGUCUCUGGGCAUUAACUGACGCUGAGGAGCGAAAGCAUGGGGAGCGAACAGGAUUAGAUACCCUGGUAGUCC